GGGAGGCAGCACACUGGGGUCAGGAGUGGAGAUACUUAGGCUCCCCAGAGAAAUUAGUCACAAGUCUUAUCCCUUCAUCUCCAUUUACAGCCAUUUAUUUGGGAGCAACAUACUUUAAAUGAGUGAUAAACAAAAUGUCUCCCCACAGCCCCCACCCCAGCAUGUGUUCUGAAGUUCACAGGAAGGCUUCUCCUCAUUUGCUUUGGGGCCCGCAGGCUGCCUGCUAACAGCUGGGUCUUCCCAUGAACAAAUUAGACAGUUAAUGUUCCAGGAUGAAGAGGGCUUCGGGGAACAGAAUCUGCCGUUUAUUUGACUUGCUUCAUUAGACACAGUGCCAUCAUACCAAAAUUAGAAAAAAGAAGGAACUCAGCGGAAAUCAGCUACACAAGAAGAACCUCUCAGUUCUGAGAAUUCACAUUAACCAGUGAUUAAGAAAUAUUAAAAAGGGCUGAUAGUCCACUACGUUAUCAAGUUCAAAGCCUAAGAAAUAUUGAACAUUUCCACACAUGAAUGUGGGUACUAUGUUUAAUUUGAGAAUGGCCAACUGUCCUCGAAGUCUCAAUCUCUUUGGAGCCUACCAGCUCCGAGAGAAGUUUGAGGAUGCUGCAAAACCCUCCCCUGCAAAUCCAUCUACUCCUCCCACUUCUAUCCUAAUGGGUAUAGUUCUUGGCUGUGCUGAGGAUCUGUAAGGCACCAGAUGUGAAAGUAAGGAAGAAAGAUGGAUGUGGAAGAAAGUCACUGCCCAGAGAAUAAGGAGACCUGGAUUCUAAUCUCAGCUCUGCCAUUAACUAGCUAUGAAACUAUGGCUCAAAAGGGAAUAAGAGAUCAAGGCAAGCAUGGACAUCUUGUACGUGGAAGUGCAGACCAGAACUUGUAUCACAGCCAGUCAUAUCUGGUGCUUUCCAUGCUACUUUUACAUACAUGUAUCCUUAAAUUUGAUCCUCUUCUAGUUUAGUCUAAACUCUUUACUUUGUAACUUCCAAACCUAAAAGGUGCAGCAGACAUUGACAAUCUUAAUUCAUUUGUCAGGUCAUUUGGUUUCUUGGUUUCCUAAGGGACUGUAUCCUUCCUGCCCUGCUAAUGGGGAGACUUUUUGUUUUUUGUUUUCUGUUUUCCUUAAUAAGUGAGGCCAAGUGCUGUGUGUAACUGUGGGGUGGGCAAAAUUAGGAUUCCUGAAUCACUUCACUUUUUGUUGCCUUUCUCUUGGGAGAAUGGUUACCAUUGCAGAGAAGCAUAGUUAAAAUUGCUUUUGUGUUUCAUAAACGAAUUCAUACUUAGAUGUCAUUGACCAACAACUAAAUAGUAUAUCAGAGAUGAAAGGCAUCCUAGAGAUGACCAAAUCAAGCUCUUCAUUACUCAAAGGAGAAAAAAAUCCAGAAAGUGGAUGACAUAUGUUGAACUAGUGAUGGAAGUAGAACAGGGUAGUGUAUUUUCUGCCUCUUAAUUCUUCAUUUUUUACACUAAACCAGAUAUUAGGUAUAUGACUAGGAAGAUACGUGAGGUAAGGAGCAGAGGGUUUGGCUCCAAACUCAUCAUGUAGUCAUCCUCCUCCAAGCUCUGAGAGCUUCUCUCACAUGUUAAUUCAGAGGCAGUAACAAAAGAAUUAAUGCUCCUGAAGGUUUCUCAAUUUUAUCAUCUGGAAAGUGGAGUGAACCUUUGCAGAGUCCUUCUGAAGAGGGCUGACCUUGGACUGCACUAGGUUAUAUUCAUUUGCUAUUACUCAGCAAUAAAAAGUAAAUGCAACAAUAUAAAUGAAUCUUAAAAACAUAAUAUGGAAAGAAAGCAGCCAGACACAAAAGAAUACCUCCUGUUUGGUUUCAUUACCAUAAAACCUAGAACAGACAAAUGAAUAUACUAUGAUUUUAAAAAGAUCAUUAUGAUCAGAAAGCACUUGCCUGUUACAGGAAGGAGAUGGGGAUUGACUGGAAAGGGGCAUGAGAAAACUGUAUGAAAUAUUAUAUAUGGUUUAUAUCUUGUUUGGGGGUGGAUACAUAGCUGUGUAUAAUUGUCAACAGUCAUUGAACUGAGCACUUAAAAUCUCUGCAUUUUAGUGUAUGUAAAUUAAUUUUUAAAAUUAUUUUAAAAGAAAAGUAAAAGGAUAGAAAAAGAUAUACCAUGAAAACAGCAAUCAUACAGAGUUGGGGCAGCUAUACUAAUACUAGAUAAAAUAGUCUGUAAGACAAAAACUUAUUAGAGAUGAAGAGGGACAUUUUAAGUGAUGACAAUUUAUUCAAUAAGGAAGAUGUAACAAGAAUAACAAGUAUGUAUGUACCUAAUAACAAAAUCCCAAAAUACGUAAAGCAACAACUGACAAAAUUGAAGGGAAAGAUAGACAAUUCAACAAUAAUAGUUGAGGACUGGAAUACCUCACUUCCAACAAUAAAGAGAAAAACUGGGCAGAAAACCAACUGGGAUACAGAGACUUGAAAAACAUUGUAAACCAAGUAGAAUCAACACACAUCUAUAGAAAACUCCACCCAACAACAGCAGAAAAUACAUUCUUCUGAAGUGCAUACGGAACAUUCCACAGAAAUAUAUGAUGUGCUAGGCCAUAAAAUAAGCCACAAUAGAUAAUAAAAGACUGAAAUCAUGUAAAUUAGGCUCUAUGCCCACAGAUUUAGAAAUCAAUAACUAAAAGAAAUGUGGGGAAUACACAAAUAUGUGGAAAUUAAGCAACACGUUCAUAAAUAACCAAUAGGUCAAGGGAAAAAAAUAUCACAAGGAAAAUUAGAAGAUACUUGAGAUGAAUGAAAAUAAAAAUACAGCAUACAAAAAAAACCAUGGGAGGAAGUUAAAGCAGCAUUAGAGCUAAAUUUAUAGCAAUAAAUGCUUAUUUCUUUAAAAAAUAUCUCUAAUAAUCUAACCUUUCAAUUUAUGAAACUAUAAAAGAACAAAUGAAACUGAAAGCAAGCAAAAAGGAGAAAAUAAUAAAAUUUCAGUAGAAAUAAAUGAAAUAAAAAAUAAAAUACAUAAAGCAACAGUUGGUUCUUGAACAAAAUUGACAAAUCUUUAGCGAAACUUUAGCAAAAAAGAAGGAGGACUCAAAUUACUCACAUCAGGCAAGAAAGAAGAAACUUGACUACUAACUUUACAGAUAAAAAGAAUUCAAGGGGGAUAAAACGUAAAAAAAAAAAACCUCUAUUGCUAACAAAUUAAAUAAACUAUAUGAUAUGGACAAAUCCCUAGAAAGACACAAAUUAUUGAAACUAACUCAAGAAAUAGAAAAUCUAAAUAGACCUAUAACAGGUAAAAAGAUUGAAUUAGUAAAUAAAAACUUCCCACAAAGAAAGAUUCAGGCCUAGAUGGCUUCCACUGGUAAAUUCUCCCAAAUAUUUAAAGAAGAAUUAAUACCAAUUGUUUAUAAACUCUUUUAGAAAAUAGAAGAAAGGGGAACUCAUUCUAUGAGUUCACUAUUACCCUGAUACCAAUGCCAGACAAAGGCAUGAGAAAAAGAGAACUGCACACCUUUAUGCAUCCCUAUCCUUUAUGAAUAUAGAUGCAAAACUCCAAGAUGAAUCCUGAAACAAAUAAAAAAUUGUACCACAACUAAGAAAGAUUUCUUCCAAGAAUUCAAGAUUGGUUUAACAUCUGAAAAUCAAUUUAUAUAAUAUGCCACAACAAUAAAGAAAAAAAUCACAAUUACUUCAAUAGAUGCAUAAAAUAAUGGAUAAACUCCAACACUCAUGAUUAAACAAAAAAAGAAGAAAACGCUUAAACCAGGAACAAAAAUUAACUUCCUCAAACUACCAGAAACUUACAGCUAACAUCAUACUAAAUUGUAAAGAAUCAAAUGGUCUUCUUUCACUCUCAGAUGUGAAAAUCUCCUAUGUAGAAAAUCCCAAGGUAUCGACAAAAAACAAAAAAAAAAGCUAUUAGAACUAAUAAAUGGGUUCAGCAAGUUUGCUGGAUACAAGAUCAGUAUAGAAAAAUCGAUUGCAUUUCUAUAUAUUAACAAUGAAAAACCAAAAUAAAAUUAAGAAAAUUCUAUUUAUAAAUAACAUCAAAAGGAAUAAAAUUUUUAGGAAUAGAUUUAACAAUUUAAGUAUAAAAUGUAUAUGCUAAAAACUACAAAACACUGUUGAGUGAUACUGAAGAUUAAAAUAAAUGGAAAGAUACACCAUGCUUAUGAAUUGGAGGAUUUAAUAUCGUUAAGAUGGCAAUACUUCCCAUAUUAAUGUACAAACUUAAUGCAAUUCUUAACAAAACUCUUCUGGUGUUUUUACAGAAAUUCACAAGGUGACCCUAACAUGUAUAUAAAAAUGCAAGGGAUCCAGAAUCACUAUAACAAUCUUGAAAAAGAAUAACAAAGUUGAUGGAUUCACACUUCCCAAUUCCAGAACAUACUACAAAGCGACAGUAAUCAUAAUGGUGUGGUACUGGUAUAGGGAUAAACAUAUUAAUCAACAGAAUAGAAUUAAGAGUCCAGUAAAUCCUCACAUUUAUGUUCAAUCGAUUUUCAGUAAAUAGGCAAGACAAUUCAGUGGGCAAAGAAUAAUCUUUAACAAAUAGUGCUGGACAACUGAAUAUCACAUGCAAAAGAAUGAAUUUGCACCCUGACUUCACAAUAGACACAAAUUAACUCAAAGUGUAUUAUAGAUCUAAAUGUAAGAGCUAAAUUACAAAACUCUUUUCAAAACAACUACAAAAUUCAAUCUUCAUGAUCUCGGAUUAGGGAAUGACUCUUCAAAUUAGACACCUAAAGCACAGGUGAUAAAAGAUGGCUAGGUUGGACUUCAUCAAAAUCAAAAACUUUUCUGCUUCAAGGGAUAUUUUUAAGAAAGUAAAAAGAUAACCCUACAGACUGAGAGAAAAAUUUUGAAAAUUGCAUAUUUAGUAAGAUACUUACACCCAAAAUAUAUACAGAACUCUUACAACUCAAUAAAGACAAACAGCCCAUUUUUUUCCAUGAGCAAAUGAUUUAAAUAGAAAUUUCUCCAAAGAAGACAUAUGAAUGGCCAACCAAUAAGCACGUGAAAAAUGUCAAUAUCAAUAGCUAUCAGGGAAAUGCAAAUCAAAAUCACAAAGAAACCAGGGCAGAGUGCCAGAUGCUCCGUACCUUGAAAAGGUUCAAGGAAACUUGAAAGAUCAGAUGACAUUUUUAGUGUAAUCUACAAGUCACUCUUCAAAUGACUUGAAGAUGACUACCUGAAUAUAUACAAUAAAAGUUGGAAAUAUUCAUAGAUAAUAUAAAAUUGAGACAAAAAAGGUCUAGAAAGACUGCAAUGUCAAGAUAUGUAUCAUCAAUUCCUGUACGCUACAGUUAAAUUUUGUUCUGAGUUUUCUGGUGCCAAGAAAAUAGGAAAGGGGUGGGCAAUACAGUAAGAUACAAAGAAAGCUUUUAUUUCAUGACACUUAAUUCUAAAAGAAUAAUCAGGUGAUAUGAAGCCAAUUUCUACAGAUAUGGUCUCUGUCCUCCAAGAGCUCAUAACUCAGAGAAAAAUAAAUAUGCAAAUGAUUAAAAUCAGUGAGGUAACUGCUAUGAAGGACGUAUGUACAAGCUAUACUGGAGGCAUAAGAGAGAGAGUUACCAUUCAGAUGAGGUGGACUCAUGCUCUGAUGUGGUAACAUAUGAGGUAGAUUGGGUAGGAAGGUAAGGCCAGUAGAGGGUGGGAGAACAUUCCAAGCAUCUGCAGAGAUUAAAAUUACCUAAGACGUUUGAGAAAUUGUAAGUGGUCUGAUAUGGCUGCAGUACUGGAUGUGAAGAUAAAAUUAAUGAUAGCUGAGGGUGGCAGGAAAGCUGGGAUCUUGCCAUGUAUAGCCUUAUAUGUCAUGCCAAGGACUUUGGACUUUAACCUGUAGGCAAGGGGAACCAUUGACUGGCAAGCCCUGAGUAGAGAGUCUAGGCCUUAUAAUGGGAAGUUAGUUUCCAGAGAUAACCUAAAGAAUUCCUGCCUUUAGGUUUAAUUCCAAAAGGGUAGUAAUCCACAACCUAGCACUCCAUAACAGUGAUUUAUAUUGGAAUUACUCUCCAAAUUGGAAGAUAUGGUUAAUCUGGGAUUAUAGGACGUGUAAGCUCAAAGUAAUUUCCAUUGUAACUCGUAUAGCUUUCUACUCAGCCCAUGACAUUCCUACCUGGUUCCAGUUCUUGCAAUUCAAAGAGAACAGGUCAAUGUCAGUGUUAACAUGUGGGUAUGAAAACAGCAAGUACCCGCAUAUGAAUUGGAACUGGGCUCACUGAAGAAAGCAUGUAAUUGGAGUGGGAAUAAAAGCAUCCAACUAUUAUACUUGUGUGUGUACACACACACAUUAGAUAUACUGCUACAGAUAUAGAUAGAUGCCAGGUGUGCUGGUCACUUUGCGAAUCUCAUCACACUUUACCUUCAUGACAAUCCAGAAAGGUAAGUACUAAUCCCACUUCACAGAUCAAGACUAUUCUUACUUACAGAAGUUAACAGUGCUCUCUCACUGGCUGGAUUGGCAUGGAUGCCUAUUUUUGAUAGUAUUUCUAAUCCUUACCACUGAAAGCAUUGGAAUGACACUUCAUGUAUUUUUUUCAGUAGAGAAGUAAUAGAAACUAUUCCCCUUAAAUGGCAGAUGUGAUAUCUCAAGCACAAAAGCUUGGGUGACUCACUCAAGUCAAUAACAACUGUAGGACAGGAGCAUUUCCAGUUGGCCCCGUAUUCCUUCUACUUAGUCUUUUUUGUUCUCAUGUAAAUACAAAGUCAUAAAUUUGUGGGGGUUCAUAUUGGCUUUGUUCCUUUUCCCAUCUAGUUACCACAAGAGACCUUUCACUCUCCCUAGUGACACCAUUCAACCUCUACAUAACCCUACAACAAAUACCCACUUCACUACCAUAUCACAUGGCCAGACCAGUGGUCUUUUCCUUUAAUGUUACAUAGAAUAAUAUUAUUUCUCCAUCAAUUAACUCUGAUUGGAAUCAUGAUUAUCACUAGUUUUAUUCUUCAGGCUUGAUAGAGUACCAGCUGUGUCCAACAAAUGUAACAACAGUGGCUUCCAGCCAAGUGCAACUGAGGUUUUUACAAGAAUAGAUACUUCGUGUAUUCUAAUGACAAAAGCACAUAAAUGAGGACUAAUAUUCUGUCUGUGGCAGAGAGAAAAUCCUCUUGACUUUGAAGAGGUUCAAAGGCCCACACACACAGAAAACUGAGUGCUCUGUCAUGCUAUCUGGAUCAAGGGACUCCCCCAAGGGGCCGGCAUCCCGGCCUUAGAAAGAUGUCUGGGCCCUCAUCACUGAGGCCUUUGAAACCUUGUACCAGAAACCCCCAGGGGUGCCUCUCCAGCCUGCUCCCCUGGAACUUCUCAGGUACCCAUGACACAGCCAGAUAACCAGCCAGUUGUCACCUACCAUCUAGGACAGUCUCUUACUCCUACCUGUCCAUGCAUGCUCACUAAACUUGCCCUGCAGCAGAAGUAUGAAUGACUCUUUAUUAAAAUAGACAGGAAAAACAAUAGUGUCUCAUCUCACACCUGCACUAGGAAAAAAUCCUCUGUCUUCCUCUCUCCCUUCUGGGCCCACUCCCUCCAAGUCAUCUCAGAGCUGCUGCCAGCAGCAUGUAAAAUAUGAAUCUGACUUUUUGACCCAUCUGAUUAAAAACUGAAGUUGGAGCACCUCUGGCAGCAGAUUGAAGUCCAAACCCCUUCAAAAAGUAUUCAAGGGCCUUCACAACCUGAUUUCAACAAUAUCCUGAACAGUUUUCCCAUACACUGGAGCUCUGGCCUUCCCAGGUCCUCCAGUGAUACUCAUCUUGCUCAUUUGGCCAUGGAUAAAGGAGAAAAGAGAGAGAAGUUCCCUUUCAGCACCCUAACACAUCUCUUAAUACAGCCUCUAAGUCUUUGAGUCCUCCAGGAGCCAGCAGCCAAGUCCAAACUAAAAGCAUCACAUGUUGUUUUGGAGAAAGAAGCCAGGGUGUCCACAGUAAUAUAAAUACAGAGACAGAUAGGACGAGCAGGCCCUAUGGAGAGAGGCCAAGCCUGAGAAAGUCAAAGGGCUUUGAGCUCUGAAUUAUGCUCUGUCAAAGAAAAAAAAAAGUAGAAGAUAAAAGAGAAAGAAUAAACAAACUUCUUCAUUUUUACUUUUCACAAAAAAGUCUCUUCUGGAAGCAGCAAAUAAAAUCUUCCCAACUCACUGGGUGCUGAGUAGAGUGUUAAGACACUAGCCCUUGAAGGAAGAAUGAAUAAGCAAUUCAAAGUGGGCUUUUCUGCCCUAGGCUAAAUCUGAAAUCAUCCAUUUUGCCAGCAGUAUUCUGUCUGCCAACCUACCUGCAAAGAAAGGGGCCAUUUAAAACUUCACAUCCACCCGAGAUGGCUGUUGUACAAAACACACACUCACAGGCUCCCCUCAAAGCCUAGUAAGGAAGAAGGAAGAAGGAAAAAGCAAAGGAAAUAUCUGGCAGCUCCUAGACUUUAGGAAUUCCACAAACAAAGCCAUUGCCAACAUCUAUUUGACAGGAUGUAUAGAGAGUUCAUAAAGUAAGUGUUUAUAGAAAUUCCAAAAUGUUUAAAACUAUCUCUUGAUUUUUGAAGGUCACUGUAAUCUAGUCUAUUGGAGAAUGCUAUUGUAGAGUCUUUGGCUAUUGUUACUUAUACCUGCAUAUAUGAAAUCACCACUCCUAAAAACCACGAAUUAGAAGGCUGAUUUGUUUAAAGAAAUACUGUUGUCCAUGAUGGAAGAAGGAUGCUAACUCACAGAGAGAAUGAUGCUGCCUGUGGAACAGAGUCGGAGCUGGCUUUUAUGGAACCUAUUGUCACUUUGAUUAUACACUGUCUAGGACAGGACUGAGGCCCACAUAAUACCAAGCAUACCACAAAUACAAAAAGUGGCAUAGAGGGAAAAAGAGGUCAAAUUAAACAUCAAGGUAGCUAAAAGGAAAAUUGUGUCCGCUGCUCUAAUAUCACAAUCCCAAGGAGAACUGCAGACAUUUGUCCUCGAGUUCCUCAGGUUGCCAGUAAUGAUGUUUCUGGUGAUCUGGCUCAGAAGGCUGAGCUGAUGAGUGAUCACUCAGAAAUACUGAAUCAGGCAAUGGAAAUUCUGAAUCGGUGGGCUCUGGAGAAGGAACUGAGGGCGAGGUGACUCGGGGCCGGAGGGCUAUUAUGGACUAUGGACAAGCUGAAGGCAUGGGAAGCCUGACCAGUAGAUAGAGGAAUAUGAACUUGGUGGACAGGGAAAAGCAGGGACGUCAUGAACGAAAGACCACAGACCCUCUGUUCUAGUCCAUGGGGCCAGGCUGUGCUCCACUGCCUACUCUUGGAUUCCCCAAAGAAUGCUUUAUGUCCUUAUAAUAAAUCCACCUUUCCAUGGACAAAAAUGAGUGUGUCUCUGUGUCUUCAAACCUGAGAGCUAAAACCAAAAAACAUAACUUAUGAUGCUGUAGAAGAAACUUCUACCCCUUUGUACGCAUGGAGAUGUUUCCCAAAUCUACACAAUGAUAGAAAUAACUUGCUGCGUUAAAAAGUA
RNAcentral lists this long non-coding RNA (9415 nucleotides) under Homo sapiens (human). RNAcentral describes it as "HSALNT0380809". The record is from RNAcentral. Lineage: Eukaryota; Metazoa; Chordata; Mammalia; Primates; Hominidae.